GGCGAUAUAGCUCAGUUGGUUAGAGCGAGGGAUUCAUAAGCCCUAGGUCACAGGUUCGAAUCCUGUUAUCGCCA
RNAcentral lists this transfer RNA (74 nucleotides) under Phycisphaerales bacterium. RNAcentral's name for it is "tRNA-Met". It matches the Rfam family "tRNA". From Rfam's summary of the family: Transfer RNA (tRNA) molecules are approximately 80 nucleotides in length. Their secondary structure includes four short double-helical elements and three loops (D, anti-codon, and T loops). Lineage: Bacteria; Pseudomonadati; Planctomycetota; Phycisphaerae; Phycisphaerales. The record is from RNAcentral.